RNAcentral lists this long non-coding RNA (1460 nucleotides) under Mytilus galloprovincialis (Mediterranean mussel). Lineage: Eukaryota; Metazoa; Mollusca; Bivalvia; Mytilida; Mytilidae. The record is from RNAcentral.
AAGGACAAAUAAACAAAACAAAAACGUAAUCUGUAAUCACAUAAUACAACUUCCAUUUUUAACAUAAUACAAGUUCAAAAAUACUGAUUUCUAAGGAUAAACCGGAUAGCAUUCUUACAAAUACAAUAUUAGCACAUUGAUUAUCAUAUAGAAUAUGAUCAUAAUCAAGCAGGAAAGCAAGGGUAACUCGAUUGUUUCAAUUGUUUUCCAGCAAACUUAAAAUGAAGUUUAUCUUUUUUCAGCAAUAUUUAUAUUUUGUAGUUAUUUUGGAAUUUUAAGAAGUUGCAAAAUGUUUCAACAAUAAAUAUAUAUACAUUAGUUAUGUUCCAGACCAUAUGAGUAUUUGGACCGUACGCGUACGGUCCGGACCGUAUACGUAUACUCGUACGGUCCGACCAUACACGUACGGUCAGACCAUAUGAGUAUACACGUACGGUCCAGCUGAUGUUUUGGGAUCAUAUGGGUUAAAUUUAAACAAACAUUUAACAAAAUCUUUUUUUUAGUUAUACGAUUUUUUUAGUUAUACAAAUUGUUAUUAUUACAUGUAUAUGGAUAAAAUGAUUAAGCAAACAAUUGAAAUUAAAUAUGUAUUUAUCUGUAUAUCCGUGAAUCCUAUUUUGGUACUCAAGGUGACACUGACUUCCACAAAGAACGUCAUAUUUUUUUUUAUAGUAACAUAAUUUGUUCAUGCACGUUCCUUUGCAUUUUUUUUGUAAAGUUCCUAAAUAUUCUAAAACGAUUGUCCUCCCACUCUAAGUUUACUUCCGAUAACUUCAAUUUCAAUGAGCAUACUUGGCUUCAAUUAAUGAAUUACUGACAUGCUAAAUACAGGAGAUUAACAGAUUAAAUAAACGUGAUUUUUUUAAAUAGUUAUAAUAUUAUUUUUUUUAUUUCAAUUACUAUUGAACUUUUUACAUUAAUUUGAGAUAUAAGUGAUGUUGAUCUGUUAUAUACAUUUGUAUCUGAUAAACGUGACCCACUUCUUAAUAUUAGUCAGACAGUACACGUACGGUCCGACCGUAUGCGUAUUUUGAAAAUGUACGCAUACGGUCCAGACCGUACGCGUACGGUCCAAAUACUCAUACUCAUACGGUCUGGAACAGUUAUAUUGCAAUUUAAAGUGGAUGCAAAAUUUUUCUUUCUUCCACUUCACUGUUUUUGUUUCCAAAAGAAAAUGCAAAUAAAUUGAUGCAAACUGCAGACUGUAAAGUUGACAAAAUAUAAUAUGAGGUUAAUACUAUUUUAACCCUAAUUUUGGCUAAUGGAAACAGGGAUCACUGAGAUGAUAAUGGCAAAGUUAACAAACUGAAAGUGUACUGUCAAUUCAGAAAUUGUUUUCUGCAUUUAUUAUUUAUAAUUGUAUAAAAAUUUGCAAAAAUAUGUGAUAAAUUAUUUAUUUUUGAUAUUGUUGGAAUAUAAAUAUUGCUAUCAAAAUUAAAAUGUGAGUUUAUCUAUUUGUG